RNAcentral lists this unclassified non-coding RNA (201 nucleotides) under Hevea brasiliensis (rubber tree). The record is from RNAcentral. Lineage: Eukaryota; Viridiplantae; Streptophyta; Magnoliopsida; Malpighiales; Euphorbiaceae.
AGAGUUUCAUUUUGCAGGAGGAUAAUGUCGGUAGCUUCUGAUCAAGCCACAAGUAUCUGCAGUUACUGUGACAGAGUAAUUCCUUGUUCCAAUCUCGAUUUGCAUGUUGCUCACUGCUCCCGGAAGCUUGAAAAAUGUAAAAUUUGUGGGGAUGUGGUUCCAAAAAAACAUGCAGAAGAACAUUUCUUGAGCACUCAUGCU